UAACACGCUUCGUGACGAGUCAGACUUGGCAAACAGACGUCCCCACCACUGAGGAUAGGGACACAGUUGUCCCCAAAGCUGUCACUGAUGGUCUUACAGCAUGGUGCCUACUGGCAGCUUACAGGUGGGCCUAAGCUUCUAGCACAGCUGUUUUGGGAUCAGGUCUCCUUUGUUCAACCCAGGAAGGCACAGAGAGUGACCAGACACCCCUGCCCAGAAUCUACCCGCCUGGUGACUGAUUGUGCGGCCUGGGGAUGGGUCAACAUAUGCAGCCUGCUGCCCUGGGAUCGUGGAGGAGCAAGGGUGUCUGAAGAGAAAUGCUGCUUGUGUCCAGGAAGCUGUGCCCUAAACGUGUUUGAAGAUGGAGACGGGAUGAUUCCUAAGUCACCUCAGGCUUGUGCUCUCGGCCCAUCCAGACCCAGUGACGUCCACCGCUGGACCGUCCCACGUAGAGUGCAGUCCACCUGAGUUGCCAUAACAAAACACUGUGCACUGUGUAGUUUACAGGCAACAAAAUUUUCUCACAGCUCUGGAGACUGAGAGAUCCAAGGUUAAGACUCCAGCAGACUCAGUGUGUGGUGAGAGCCCAUUUCCUGGUUCACAUGGCAGACAAAGAAUAGAAGCCCUCCAAGGGCCUCCACCAUCACCCUAAAAAAGGAAUGGAUCACCCUGCUACAUAGUCACCCCUAGAGGCUCCCAGUUCCUAAGCCCAGCAUAGUGUGGAUUUGUGUUCAACCUACAAAUGAGGUCAAGGUUUGCACAGACAUUCAGUCUGCAGCAAACCACAAUUAGUCCUUCACCUGCAAAGUCUUCCUUCAACCACCCCCUGCCUCCUCCCACACCUUCCGGGGGUGUGUGUCAUAUGCUUCCUGAUAUCUGGGUAAAUUUCUAAUUGUCUUCAGUGGACAUGUCUUCCUUCCUUCCUUCCUUCCUUCCUUCCUUCCUUCCUUCCUUCCCUCCCACCCUCUCUCUCUCUCUCUCCCUUCAUUCCUUCCU
Molecule: long non-coding RNA, 996 nt
Organism: Mesocricetus auratus (golden hamster)
Lineage: Eukaryota; Metazoa; Chordata; Mammalia; Rodentia; Cricetidae
Exons: 3
Source: RefSeq, a predicted model, not a curated record